Podarcis raffonei (Aeolian wall lizard) is the source of this 2666-nucleotide long non-coding RNA. RefSeq lists it as uncharacterized. The transcript has 2 exons. NCBI's taxonomy places the organism in Eukaryota, Metazoa, Chordata, Lepidosauria, Squamata, Lacertidae. The record is from RefSeq and is a predicted model, not a curated record.
CCAAAAGCUCCCCCAACCCUCUGGAACAGAUUUUGGAGGCACGCAGGGAAUCAGCUCUGCUGGUGGGAGAGGCACAGUUGGAUUUCACCCAUAGUAUGAAUGUGGAGGCUGAAUAGCUUUGUAUUCUGUCUGAGGCUAGCUUUGCAGAGUCUUCUUUCAGUUUUGCGACCUUCACCCCAAAUCUGACCUCUCUGGGAGAAGGUGAUGAUCAGAUAUUUCUAAUAACGGCACAUUAGGAUUCAUGCUUCCCCCACCCAACGUUUUUAAUAAACUUUUAGUGAAUUCGCUUUAUCUCUCUAGAAUUUCAUAUAGAGAAAUAUUCAAAGCAGAUAGUUAUCUUUAUUGAGGGAUGAGUGUCUAGGCUUGAUUGUUUUAAGCCUCUUUUAUAAAUCUCCUUGGCACAGCUCCCCAUAAAGAUUUUAUAAAUUGUGCAUUGACCGGCACCAUGCCCAUAUGAGGUUGGUUUCUAAGUCACAGUAAGUUUUAACAAAGAGGUUUUAAUUGGAAUAAUUACUCUGUUGACUUAAAUUGGUUGCAUUUUCUCUGUACAAUAAAUCCCAAUAAGAAUUUAAAUCCCACCAUAAUUAGUAUUCUGUAAUUUCUAUUUUGCUUUUUUUGUUAAAUACUGCAGGCAUUUUUGUCCUGCCUUGGCAGAUUUAGGUAUUAAUACUUAACUUAAUUCUUGUGCAUAAAAGUUGGACACAAUCCACUAGAAAUGUUUCCUGCAAAAAAAGCCCUUUUGGAAAAUGGUUGGGACUUAGCUAAAUUGCAGGUGAAGUUGUUUUGCUUAUACACCUCCAAGACAUUUUCAACAAGCGAGAUCUGGAAUGCAUGUUGCAUUGUGGAGUGCUGCUGAUUAGCGUUCCAACCAGCUAUGCCCCUUCCAGGCUAUAUCAUUCCAUUACCCUUCCCCACAUUGUUCUCCCCUCAGUUAUCAGCGUUCAGCUCCCACUAAGCCAUAUUUAGGGGACUGAGGCUUCCAACCCUUUAGGUUUUUAUAGGGGAGUUUUUUGUACAUCUGCAAACCUUUGGAUUCCUCCAAGCCUGUUGCUGCCUCUUUCAUGUGUGAAUGAUGCCAUUUGGACUGCAGAAGGGGCCACACAUCCAGAUAAUGAGUUUAAUAGUGGUAUAUAGGUUGGAGUUUUCCCUGUGUGACAACUCCUGUGAUGCUAGUGGUCUAGCUACUCUGCAUCACAGUGUACCACAAGUGGUGUGAAAAGGGAGAGCUAUGACAUAGACAUAGACCUGGUCCUGUGCUCCUUUGUUAAGAACAUAGGACUCUGUAGCCCUCCAUCUUGCAGUGCCACCGGUUCCCCAUUCCUAAUACAGGAAGAGCCCUCUUGGAUUGGACCAAAGAGCCAUAGAAUCCAGCAUUAUUUUCCCAAUAGCAACCAGCCAGAUGUUUCUGGGAGCUUACAAGCAGGGUUAGAAGGCAAUGCCACCCCUGGAGAAAACAGCUGGAAAGUGAAAGAGACAACACCAUAUAUGGACAGAAGGAAUCUCCAUGGAUAUACAAGUUUUCACACACAGGGCAGAAUAAAGAUACAGUGGUACCUUGGUUCUUGAACUUAAUCCAUUCCAGGAGUCCAUUCGACUCCCAAAACCAUUUGAAAACCAAGACACUGCUUCCGAUUAGCUGCAGGAGCUUCCUGCAUUCAAGCGGAAGCUGCGUUGGACGUGCGGCUUCUGAAAAACGUUCGCAAACCAGAACACUUCUGGGUUAGUGGCGUUCGGAAGCCGAUUUGUUUGACAGCUAAGCUGUUCUAGAACCAAGGUACCACUGUAAUAGUUUGAGUUCCUCACUUGAAGCUUUAUAAAUUUAUAUAUUGUAAAAUCACGACUGGAAAUAAUUACGUAGCUGUUGACUAAAGGAUUAUUAUUAUAACUGAAACGUAACUGACGUUAAUUAAGAUUAUGGAAUGCAGUGUUAUAAGAUCAGAAAUGCACCCAAACCAUCAUGCAGGGAGCCACUUUAACUAAAAUGUAUUAAUUAGAAGUUGAUUGGCACUUUGAUAAUUGUAUAAUUUGGGGAUUAAUUGUUAUUUGUUAUAAUUUGGCUAUUAUUGGAAAACUAAUAAAAAUAUUUUUUUUUUAAAAAGGAAGGCAAUGCCACCCCUUUUACUUUCACAGCAUCUGGUAUUCAGAAGUCCAUUGCCUCCAGAUCUUGUGUCACAGCUAAUAAACCUAUCCAAGCCAGUGGCAAUUGCUAUGCUUGGAGCAAUAAACUGCAUGGCUUAGUUCUGUGCUAUGUGAAGAGUAGCUUUCUUUAUUCUGUCCAGGAUGUAAUUGUAUUGGGUGGUCCUAAACCUCUGCCCUGUCUCUUUAGUCAUUGUGUUUAGAAGGGUAUCUUUACAUUGGCAAAUAUAUAUUUCUGAUAUAAUGAUGGCAAUGUAAAUGACUGUUCCUGAACCUACCUAUAACUUUAUACCGCUAACUUUCUUUUUGGGUUAUUGUUGAAGUGCCUCAUCUUAAGUAUUGCUGACCUCAUAUUUAUACCUGGAAAGAUUUGUUAACAUGGCAAUUUCCCACCUCUUUGAACGAGACUUGUGUGAUUUUAUAUGGUCUGAUGCACUCUUGUGACUUGUUCCUGUUCCCAUCCAUGUUUUAAUGACUGUUAAUCCUGCUGAAUCAAUAGGACUUUCUGUAAUAAAUCAGUUAAUAUGAAA